GUGGGGAAUAUUGGACAAUGGGGGCAACCCUGAUCCAGCCAUGCCGCGUGAAUGAUGAAGGCCUUCGGGUUGUAAAGUUCUUUUGGAGGGGACGAUGAUGACGGUACCCUCAGAAUAAGCUCCGGCUAACUUCGUGCCAGCAGCCGCGGUAAUACGAAGGGAGCUAGCGUUGUUCGGAAUUACUGGGCGUAAAGGGCGCGUAGGCGGUUUGGUUAGUCAGAUGUGAAAGCCCAGGGCUUAACCCUGGAACUGCGUUUGAUACUGCCAAGCUUGAAUUCGGGAGAGGUGAGUGGAAUUCCCAGUGUAGAGGUGAAAUUCGUAGAUAUUGGGAAGAACACCGGUGGCGAAGGCGGCCACCUGGACAGGUACUGACGCUGAGGCGCGAAAGCGUGGGGAGCAAACAGGAUUAGAAACCCUUGUAGUCC
Molecule: ribosomal RNA, 425 nt
Filed under: uncultured bacterium
Lineage: Bacteria
Description: partial 16S ribosomal RNA
Rfam family: Bacterial small subunit ribosomal RNA
Source: RNAcentral